AGGAUGAACGCUGGCGGCGUGCCUAAUACAUGCAAGUCGAGCGGUAAGGCCCCUUCGGGGGUACACGAGCGGCGGACGGCUGAGUAACACGUAGGAACGUACCCCAAACUGAGGGAUAAGCACCAGAAAUGGUGUCUAAUACCGCAUGUGAUCUUCGGAUUAAAGCUUCGGCGGUUUGGGAACGGCCUGCGCAUGAUUAGCUUGUUGGUGAGGUAAUAGCUCACCAAGGCGACGAUCAUUAGCUGGUCUGAGAGGAUGAUCAGCCAGACUGGGACUGAGAACGGCCCAGACUCCUACGGGAGGCAGCAGUAGGGAAUUUUCCACAAUGGGCGAAAGCCUGAUGGAGCAACGCCGCGUGCAGGACGAAGGCCUUCGGGUUGUAAACUGCUUUAUAUGUGACGAUUAUGACGGUAGCAUAUGAAUAAGGAUCGGCUAACUCCGUGCCAGCAGCCGC
Molecule: ribosomal RNA, 454 nt
Filed under: uncultured bacterium
Lineage: Bacteria
Description: SSU rRNA
Rfam family: Bacterial small subunit ribosomal RNA
Source: RNAcentral